UGUCUGCCCGCAUGCCUGCCUC
RNAcentral lists this microRNA (22 nucleotides) under Gorilla gorilla (western gorilla). RNAcentral's name for it is "ggo-miR-346". Its record names the gene ggo-miR-346. RNAcentral also lists the same sequence under 1 other name. The record is from miRBase by way of RNAcentral. Lineage: Eukaryota; Metazoa; Chordata; Mammalia; Primates; Hominidae.